RNAcentral lists this long non-coding RNA (6925 nucleotides) under Brassica napus (rape). RNAcentral describes it as "long non-coding RNA (BNAP_LNC008993)". The record is from RNAcentral. Lineage: Eukaryota; Viridiplantae; Streptophyta; Magnoliopsida; Brassicales; Brassicaceae.
CCAUGUUGAUCAUGGACUGAGCAAAGGCCUGAAAAAACAGACUCUGGUUACUUGCGAAGGAAGUAACAAUCGCAAUCGUGGCUGAACCGGUGGUAGAGAACAGUUCUUGGUCUGACUGAAGAAGCCCGUUGUUGCUCUGAAGGUUGGUGAAGUAAUUGUUAUCGAACGCGUCAGGUGUGCUCAGAUCAAGAUUAGUGAUCCCUGAUCCGGUGCCGUUUUGAGGACAUAUCUGUUGAAGACUGCUUAGAAGCGUAGUGUUUAGAGUUGGGUCAGGAUUUCCCGAGCCGCUGAAGUUGAAUAGUCUGUUACUGAACACUCCACAUCGAGCACGUCCGAAGGUAUGUGCACCUAUACGUAGAUAUAACCACAAAGGAUGGCGUUAGGGUUUUGUUUUACUUUUUCCGCAAGUUAACUAAACAUGUAGAUAUUUUUACCAGAUAAGGCUACUAGAUCAUUUGUAUUUAGCCCGACAGCUGAAAAUUUUGAUGUGAUGUUAGUAAGGCUUUCUACUGGAGAAGGAAUUGACGAAUUUGCCCCGGCUUGGUUUGCUGUGAGACUAUCUCUUCUGCCCAAUAAUACAGUCCAUGAAGGCCCUCCUGACUGACCAUGUUCAACCACGUACGUUUUAACUAGUGAGCAUAUGUAUUGUUUGCUAUGUCUUAUUAAGAAUGUGUUAUUACCAAAGAAACUGAGGCUUCUGAGGCAAGAGCUAAAACGUCAGAACAAGAGACGACGCCGGGACAAGCGUUCUCAAGGGCAGUCUUGAUAUUAUCGACAACGUUGAAUCCUCUUGCCGAGUUUGCAUUCGGUCCAGCAUUCUUCUCGCUCUGGAUGCUUCCACUGUCGUCAAGCAAGAUCGAUGCGUCACACCCCUUUUAGAAAAUAAAGAAAAGUAUCGGUUUAAGCGAGAAAAAGAUCAUAACGUUAAAGAGUUGUAUUGAGAAAGGAUUAGUAUACAUUAACAAAACAGUCGUGAAAAUGAAGGCGGAUGAGGCUAGCUCCGAUUCUAGAGUCGGACUGAAGGGCUUGCUGAAUAGUGGUACGUACGAUGGCAGAUGCGUUAGGGCACGUCCCUGAGUAAAACGUUGCAUUUAACUGCGCAUUUGAAGUUCCAAACAAUGAAGAUGAGAUGAUGAGAGUGGUGAGGAUUACGAUGAAGAAACCAUCACAAGUAGUAGGAGUAUUUGUUACAGCCAUUACUUAGGUUUUGGAAGUAACUAGUUUUGAAUUUUGUUUUUCUAUGAUUGGUGCGGAGCUUAUGAGUAUUCCAUAUCAUUUUGAAAUCAUUAUAUUUAUAGGCAGGGAAGGUUAUUAACGCGUACAUAUUGGCUGGUGAUGAAAGUGAAAGAUUUUAAAUUAAACCAAUAACUAGAUUAACGUGUGUGUUUGUGUACUAAGUCCAAAAGAUGAGAAAUAAGCUGGUGCUUCUACAUUUUCUUAAGUUAAAAGUUAUUUGUCUUUAGGUUAUACCAUCUCCAUCACUUGCAUUAUUGUAGUCCUUCCACGCGGUUGGUAAAUGAAUUUAUAAAUAGUGUAUACUAUAAGAAUAUAUCAGAUUUUGCGUUCUUGAGACGAAAUCUCGUUCUGGUGAUCAAGAUUGUUUUUUCUUCGUUCUAUCAUUAACAUUGGAAUACACUAAAACAUGAUAUAAAUUAUAUAUCGAAAUUAAACAUCUUUAAUGCAUUCUGAUUCCCAUGUUUAAUAUCGAGAAUUCAUAUAAAAAUGAAUGUGAAUGAAGAUCUCAAUUCUCACAUUGAUAGGCAGAAUUUCAAAUAUGCUUUUAAAAAAGUUAGUCUGCACAAAUUAGUUUAUAAGUCACAUUUAGUCUACACGAAUUAGUUUACAAGUCACAUUUCUGCAAAAUAACUGCUACCUUCAAGAGUUGUUAGACCUUUACAGCUGUAUUAAUUUUGAGAAAACAAAUAGAUUCAUAAUCAAGUGUUUUAUAAUGAGUGUUUACUUCACUGAUUUUGAUAAAGAACCUUCAGAAGUCUUACUUUCGAGAUGUUCCUUUGACAUUAACCUAUGUUCGCAGAUGCGUGACUAGCUCUGGAUUUUCGAGUGACGGUGAUAUGGAUUAUGACUCUUAGAAAGAGCUUAGAACAUACUAUAACGUAUUAUUCUUGAAAUUUACUAUAACUGUUAAUUCUGAAAGUUUUUUCUCUAUUUCAUUAGUUUUUACUAUGAUGAAGUCAAAUAAAUAAGUAUCUCUGAUAACUAACUACAUUGAAAAUUAAUAUUGAAAAAAGUAUUUUAAAAUGCACAUAUACAUGUAUAUAUAUAUUUUAUAUUGUAUAGCUUUUCUAAAAAAAUUGCUGAGAAAUAAAAUACACACAGUUUUAAGGCCCAGCUGGCUAUAUUUCCCAUCAAACUUGCUAAAUAAAAGCCAAAACUGAGGCAAUUCCCCUUCCAAUCUUCCAUCAUCACGGAAAAACUAGGACAUUUUCAACAUUCAGUGAACCUUCAAAACAAACUAAAUGAAGGUUCCACAAUGUGAAAAUGUCAUUUAUAACCAAUUUGUGCAUCAUUGAUGGAUUCAUUUCCCUAUAAACAUACGAUUCUUAAAAAUUAUUCUAUUUUAAUUUCCAGUAGUUUAAUGAUUAAACUAGAUUUUGUGAUAACAUAUUACAUUAGAGUUUUAUAUUGGCACUAGGGUCGGCCCGGGCUACGCCCGGAAUUUUUUGUUUAAAUUUAAAUGUUAAUUGUAUAUUUAGUAUGUUUAUUUUAUUUAUAAAUAUUAUAAUCUAUUAUAAAAAAUAUAAGUAGCCAAACAAUUAUAAAAUCAAUUCAAAUUAUUCUUUGUUCAAUUACGCAUUUUAAUAUUUUUAAUAUUCAUUUUUUUGUUAUGAGAAAUUAUAUAUAAGGUGAUGAGUAGAAUAAACAAAAAUUAUUAUUAUUUAGUUAUGGUGUUUAAUUGAUUAUGUCGAAUAAGGUGAUACUGUGUCGUUUAGGAGUGAUAGAGAUGUAAAGCGUUUGCUGAUUUGAUGUUAUACCUAUUAGAGUGUGUGUUGUUUCUGUGUUGACUCUUAUGAAUGUGUGUUGUUUUAAUGACUUUAACUAAACGUGUUUGUCAUCUUACAUAGGAUCCACAUAAAACCUAAAUUUCUUUACACAAACAUUUUUUUUCACGCCGUAAACUAAUUCUCUCAACUAAACUCAUCUCUUUCAAACGCCAAAGCAACCCUUUGACUCUCUGCAAAUCAGAAACCGUAAACUCAUCCCUAUCAAAUCUUGACUCUGCGUAGAUCGAAAGCAAGUAUUCUUUUUUUUUUUCUUUUGGCUUUUUGAACUUUUUUGCGGAUAACCCGCUAGACCCGCUUGUUUGAUGCGGAGCGGGUGUGGUUAUCGAAAUCCGGUCAUGCGGGUCUUGCGGGUAUAAUUUUCAAGUGAAAAAAUGAGUUUAACCUGCGGCGGGGCGGUUGAGCGGGGCGGAUCCGACCCGCUUCCCAGGCAUAAUCAUGGGUCUAGAGGAAGCAGCAGGAUUGAACAGUUACCAAUGGCGUUAGGAUGCGUCUCCGUUCUUCACUGCUGUCGUAUUAGGGUUAGCAAAACUCAGACUUAUCCGGCCAGUUACGCUUUCUUUAUCACAGCCCAAUAACAUGUAAAAUAACGAAGCCCAAUAAGAUGAUGUUAAUGAAACUCUGCGUUUCUUCUCUCUGGACACGUGGCAUCACUACAAACCUCUCGACUUUCUGACCUGGCGCUGACGUGGAUGCACAGGAGUGAAGCAAACAUAUUUUUAUAUAUAUAGAUUUAUUUUGAAACGAACAACUCUUCUAAACUGUACAUAUUGCCAAGUUCAAAUUUUUUUUUCAACUAUUCUUAAUUAUUUUUUUUCUUUUCUUAAUAUAAUUUAAGCAUUCAUACAAAAAUUGAUUUUUUUUAUUGAAAAAUAUAAAUCUUUAUUAAAAGUAUAUAAUUUUUUUUAUUAAAAUAUUAACCACAUAAUAAAAUUAAUUUAUCAAAGUUAUACCAACUUAAUUCAUUAAAGAAAUAAAGUUUAAUUUUUUAAACAUAAAUAGUCAUUUAAAAUGAAAUACGAUAAAUAAAGAUAAAAAGUUUAAGUCUUUUAUAAAAUAAAACACAUCUGCCAGAUUGUCCUACCAUACUCUGCUGCAGGACAAAUCUCUGCUCAAUUUCAACGUCCUACACUGAGACGCUUCUUGAGAUUCCAGUCAAAUUUCUGCUCAGUUCAAUACUCAAAACUCAUCUUCAUGCUUGCAUUUUACACCCUCUCACAUACUAUUACAGGAUUCUCAACCCUCUAUAAAACAUAUAUUAGACAUCCACAAUUUCUCAAUCCAUUUGAACGAGGAGAGAUACAACAAAAGAGACAGAGGAUCAGUUGGAUAUUGUGUUUGGAUUACCAGUUUGCAUGAUCUAGUGGCUAUGCUUCAGUCUUGUUGUGUUUCACCAAGUGUCUUCUUGAAAUGCUCUCUAUACUGUCAUUUGACAAGUCAUUUAUUUUACCUAUUUGUCAUAUUUUCAAUAGUUUUUAUACUAACUAGGGUCGGCCCGAGAUUUUUGUUUAAAUUUAAAUGUUGAAUAUAUAUUUAGUAUGUUUAUUUUAGUUAUAACGUUAUAAUCUAUAAUAAAAAAUAUAAGUUGCCAAACAAUUAUAAAAUCAUUUUAAAUUAUUCAUUGUUUUUGUUUUAAGCAUUUAAAAAGUUUUACUAUCCAUUUUUUUUGUUAUUAGAAAUUAUAUAUAAGGUGAUGAGUAGAAUAAACAAAAAUUAUUAUUAUUUAGUUAUGGUGUUUAAUUGAUUAUGUCGAAUAAGGUGAUACUGUGUCGUUUAGGAGUGAUAGAGAUGUAAAGCGUUUGCUGAUUUGAUGUUAUACCUAUUAGAGUGUGUGUUGUUUCUGUGUUGACUCUUGUGAAUGUGUGUUGUUUUAAUGACUUUAACUAAACGUGUUUGUCAUCUUACAUAGGAUCCACAUAAAACCUAAAUUUCUUUACACAAACAUUUCUUUUCACGCCGUAAACUAAUUCUCUCAACUAAACUCAUCUCUUUCAAACGCCAAAGCAACCCUUUGACUCUCUGCAAAUCAGAAACCGUAAACUCAUCCCUAUCAAAUCUUGACUCUGCGUAGAUCGAAAGCAAGUAUUCUUUUUUUUUUUCUUUUGGCUUUUUGAACUUUUUUGCGGAUAACCCGCUAGACCCGCUUGUUUGAUGCGGAGCGGGUGUGGUUAUCGAAAUCCGGUCAUGCGGGUCUUGCGGGUAUAAUUUUCAAGUGAAAAAAUGAGUUUAACCUGCGGCGGGGCGGUUGAGCGGGGCGGAUCCGACCCGCUUCCCAGGCAUAAUCAUGGGUCUAGAGGAAGCAGCAGGAUUGAACAGUUACCAACGGCGUUAGGAUGCGUCUCCGUUCUUCACUGCUGUCGUAUUAGGGUUAGCAAAACUCAGACUUAUCCGGCCAGUUACGCUUUCUUUAUCACAGCCCAAUAACAUGUAAAAUAACGAAGCCCAAUAAGAUGAUGUUAAUGAAACUCUGCGUUUCUUCUCUCUGGACACGUGGCAUCACUACAAACCUCUCGACUUUCUGACCUGGCGCUGACGUGGAUGCACAGGAGUGAAGCAAACAUAUUUUUAUAUAUAUAGAUUUAUUUUGAAACGAACAACUCUUCUAAACUGUACAUAUUGCCAAGUUCAAAUUUUUUUUUCAACUAUUCUUAAUUAUUUUUUUUCUUUUCUUAAUAUAAUUUAAGCAUUCAUACAAAAAUUGAUUUUUUUUAUUGAAAAAUAUAAAUCUUUAUUAAAAGUAUAUAAUUUUUUUUAUUAAAAUAUUAACCACAUAAUAAAAUUAAUUUAUCAAAGUUAUACCAACUUAAUUCAUUAAAGAAAUAAAGUUUAAUUUUUUAAACAUAAAUAGUCAUUUAAAAUAAAAUACGAUAAAUAAAGAUAAAAAGUUUAAGUCUUUUAUAAAAUAAAAUACAAAUAUAUGAAAAUAUGACAUUUACUAAAUAUUUGUCAAUUGAAAAAAAAAUAUGCGUUUUGAAAGCGCAGAUCAAAAUCUAGUUAAAAUUUAAAACUGAUGCAUUAUUGGAUAGAUUUUUUUUCUUGAACAAACACAUUAUUGGAUAGAUAAUAACGCUAAAGCCAAAAGAAAAUUUGAAUAUUGUAAAUAGUCCUCCUAUAUGGUACGUUUGAAAUACAACGCCAACUUUGCUGUAAUGAUAAUUCUCAUGACAAUAUUUUUUCCAUAAUUGACUUAUACGUCAAUUCCAUAAUUGACAUGAUAUCCAUGACUCCAUCCACUAGUAUUGUAUGUAAUUUAUUAUAAUUUUUUUAACUGUAAUUUAUUAUAAAAGAUGUGAUACAUCCAUGUAUUUAGCAUAACAACAUAUUUGUAAUUAUUAAAACAUCGUAGGUUCAAGAUAUAAUUCUACUAGGUGUUACCACAUAAUUUUCCCCUACCAUUUUUGUACGAAAAUGGUUCAGCUUAUUCGAAUAAUUAUUCAUAUGUGAUAAACAAACGGUGAAACUAGUCUUCGCAUUUUUCACAUUUCUUCUAAAUUCACUGUUUUCUCAGCAGAGCCAGACCUUAACUCAAUUGCCUGAGUGGUGGAUUGUCCAUUAACCACCUUACAGUCUUGUCUAAUCUCUCCACUACUCCCAGUCAACGGACUAAUGUUCCCCAUUUUGAUCAUGGACAGAGCAAACGCCUCGAAAAACUGAGUUUGGUUACUUGCAAAGGAAGUAACAAUAGGGAUGGUGGGAGAACCGGUGUCAGAUAACAGUUCUUGGUCUGACUGAAGAAGACCAUUGUUGCUCUGAAGGUUGGUGAAGUAAUUGUUAUCGAAAGCAUCAGGUGUGCUCAGAUCAAGAUUGGUGACUACUGAUGCGCUGCCGUUUUGAGGACAUAGCUGUUGAAGACUGCUGAGAAGUGUUGAGUUUAGAGUCGGGUCUGGACUUCCUGUCCCAUUGAA